Molecule: ribosomal RNA, 348 nt
Filed under: uncultured bacterium
Lineage: Bacteria
Description: bacterial SSU rRNA
Rfam family: Bacterial small subunit ribosomal RNA
Source: RNAcentral
GGGCCCGCACAAGCGGUGGAGUAUGUGGUUUAAUUCGAUGCAACGCGAAGAACCUUACCAGGGUUUGACAUCCUGCGAAUCUCUUGGAAACUUGAGAGUGCCUUCGGGAGCGCAGUGACAGGUGGUGCAUGGCUGUCGUCAGCUCGUGUCGUGAGAUGUUGGGUUAAGUCCCGCAACGAGCGCAACCCACGUCUUUAGUUGCCAGCAUUUAGUUGGGCACUCUAUGGAAACUGCCCGUGAUAAGCGGGAGGAAGGUGUGGAUGACGUCAAGUCCUCAUGGCCUUACGGGUUGGGCUACACACGUGCUACAAUGGUAGUGACAAUGGGUUAAUCCCAAAAAUGCUAUCU